RNAcentral lists this microRNA precursor (66 nucleotides) under Chinchilla lanigera (long-tailed chinchilla). RNAcentral describes it as "miRNA (ENSCLAG00000021221.1)". The record is from RNAcentral. Lineage: Eukaryota; Metazoa; Chordata; Mammalia; Rodentia; Chinchillidae.
UGGCUCUAUGAAGGUGUGCAUGUGCAUGUGUGUAUGUGCAUGCAUAGUCUUGCCUGCACAUAGCAA